AUGGGGUUCCAUUUCAGACCCAUCCUAAUGGGAUUCCAUUUCAGACCCAUCCUAAUGGGGUUCCAUUUCAGACCCAUCCUAAUGGGGUUCUAUUUCAGACCCAUCCUAAUGGGGUUCCAUUUCAGACCCAUCCUAAUGGGGUUCCAUUUCAGACCCAUCCUAACGGGGUUCUAUUUCAGACCCAUCCUAACGGGGUUCUAUUUCAGACCCAUCCUGACGGGGUUCCAUUUCAGACCCAUCCUAACGGGGUUCCAUUUCAGACCCAUCCUAAUGGGGUUCCAUUACAGACCCAUCCUAACGGGGUUCCAUUUCAGACCCAUCCUAACGGGGUUCCAUUUCAGACCCAUCCUAACGGGAUUCCAUUUCAGACCCAUCCUAACGGGGUUCCAUUUCAGACCCAUCCUAAUGGGGUUCUAUUUCAGACCCAUCCUAAUGGGGUUCUAUUUCAGACCCAUCCUAAUGGGGUUCUAUUUCAGACCCAUCCUAAUGGGGUUCUAUUUCAGACCCAUCCUAAUGGGGUUCUAUUUCAGACCCAUCCUAAUGGGGUUCUAUUUCAGACCCAUCCUAAUGGGGUUCCAUUUCAGACCCAUCCUAAUGGGGUUCUAUUUCAGACCCAUCCUAAUGGGGUUCCAUUUCAGACCCAUCCUAACGGGGUUCUAUUUCAGACCCAUCCUAAUGGGGUUCCAUUACAGACCCAUCCUAAUGGGGUUCUAUUUCAGACCCAUCCUAAUGGGGUUCCAUUUCAGACCCAUCCUAAUGGGGUUCUAUUUCAGACCCAUCCUAAUGGGGUUCUAUUUCAGACCCAUCCUAAUGGGGUUCUAUUUCAGACCCAUCCUAAUGGGGUUCUAUUUCAGACCCAUCCUAAUGGGGUUCUAUUUCAGACCCAUCCUAAUGGGGUUCCAUUUCAGACCCAUCCUAAUGGGGUUCCAUUUCAGACCCAUCCUAAUGGGGUUCUAUUUCAGACCCAUCCUAAUGGGGUUCCAUUUCAGACCCAUCCUAAUGGGGUUCCAUUUCAGACCCAUCCUAAUGGGGUUCUAUUUCAGACCCAUCCUAAUAGAUCAUAAAUCAUUCAGAGAGUGA
This 1080-nucleotide long non-coding RNA is filed under the name Oncorhynchus mykiss (rainbow trout). Its description in RNAcentral is "lncRNA (ENSOMYG00000052425.1)". The record is from RNAcentral. Lineage: Eukaryota; Metazoa; Chordata; Actinopteri; Salmoniformes; Salmonidae.